Molecule: transfer RNA, 74 nt
Filed under: uncultured phage cr112_1
Lineage: Duplodnaviria; Heunggongvirae; Uroviricota; Caudoviricetes; Crassvirales; Steigviridae
Description: crAssphage cr112_1 tRNA-Pro
Rfam family: tRNA
About the family: Transfer RNA (tRNA) molecules are approximately 80 nucleotides in length. Their secondary structure includes four short double-helical elements and three loops (D, anti-codon, and T loops).
Source: RNAcentral
AUAGUAGUAGCCUAAUUGGUGGGGCACUGCAUUUGGGAUGCAGAGGAUGCAGGUUCAAGUCCUGUCUACUAUAC